This 4723-nucleotide long non-coding RNA is filed under the name Homo sapiens (human). RNAcentral's name for it is "HSALNT0351919". Lineage: Eukaryota; Metazoa; Chordata; Mammalia; Primates; Hominidae. The record is from RNAcentral.
AUGAUUACAUCACCUCCCACCAGGCCCCACCUCCAACAUUAAGGAGUACAUUCCACAGGAGUUUUGGUAAAGAAACACAGCCAAACCAUAUUAUUCUGACCCUGGUACCCCAGAAUCUCAUGUCCUUCUCACAGAGCAAAAUACAUUCAUGCCUUGUCAAAAGUUUCCAAAAGUCUUAACUCAUUCCAGCAUUAACUCAAAUGUAAAAAGUUCAACAUCUCAUCUGAGACAAGUCUACAGUCCCUUGCACCUAUGAGUCCCUGAAUUUAAAAGGAUGUUCUUUUCUUUCAGGGUACAAUGAUGGUACAGGCAUUGGGUAAGCUUUCUCAAUUCAAAGGGAAGAAAUUUCCCAGGAAAAAACCACAAAUAGAACCACACACCCAAUGCAAGUCCAAAACCCAGGAGGCCAGUAUCCAUUCAAUCUCACAGCUCCAAAAUCACGAAGAGAACUCACUAGCAUAAGCACAGCAAUAAGGAGAUGGUGUUUAAUCAUUUGUGAAGGAUCCACCUCCCACCACCACUUUUCACCCCUCACCCCCACCAUAAUCCCCUCAUUCUCCCUACCCCCCACCUUCCAACCCACACUCUCCACCAUGAUUAAAUCACCCUCCACCAGGCCCCACCUUUAACUUUAUUAUUCUGUCCCUGGCUCCCAAAUCUCAUGUCCUUCUCACAUUGCAAAAUACAAUGAUGCCUUCCCUACAGUCCCCCCAAAUCUUGUAUCAUUCCAGCAUUUAUACAAAUGUCCAAAGCUUAAAGUCUCAUCUGACACAAGGCUAUACAGUCCCUUAGGCACAUAAGCCUCUGAACUAUAAAGCAAGUUAACUGCUGCCAAGCUACAAUGCUUGUGCAGGCAAUGGGUAAGCAUUCUCAACUGAAAGGAAAAAUUUUGCCAGAAAGAGCAAAACACAUAGAGGACUUACAGGCCCCAUGAAACUCCAAACCCAGAAGGCCAGUCAUUCAAUCCUACAGUUCCAAAAUCACCCUUUUUGAAACGUUGUCCCACAUCCAGGGCACAGGGACAUGAGGGCUGGGCUCUGAAGGCCUUGGGCAGCCCUGCACCUGUGGCUUUGCAGGGUUUAUGCCCCACAGCUGCCCCCAUGGACUGGGCGGGUGUUGAGUGCCUACAGCUUUUCCUGACUGAUGGUACAAGCUGUUGGUGGGUCUAUGAAUCUGGGGUCUGCAUGACGGUGGCCUCCAGUGUGGGGGCUCCAACCCCAUAUUUUCCUUCUGCACUGCCCUAGUAGAAGUUUCUUAUGAGGCUCUGCAUUUUUGGGAUGCUUUUGUCUGGUCACCCAGGCAUUUCCAUACAUCUUCCAAAGUCUACAAAAAGGCUCCCAAGCCUCUAGUCUCAUGAUCCAUCCACCUAGUGGCUUAACACUAUGAGGAAGUUACCAAGGCUUCUAGCUUGCACCCUCUGAAGCAGUGACCCAAGCUGCAUCUGUGCAUUUUCAGCCAUGGCUGGAGCUGGAGCUGCAGGGACGCAGGCAGCAGUGCCCUGAGGCUGCACAUAGAGCGGGGUCACAGGACUGGCCCAGGAAACCAUGCUUCUCUCCUAGGGCCCAGGGCCUGUGAUAGCAAGGGCUGCUGCAAAGGUCUCCGAAAUGCCGUCAAGGGCUUUUCCCUAUUGUCUUGGCUAUUAGCACUGGGCUCCUUUUCAUGCAAGUUUCUGAAGCCUUCCUGAAUUUUCCCCCUGAAAAUCAGCUUUUCUUUUUGACCACUUGGCCAGGCUGCAAAUUUUCCAAACUUUUGAGUCCUGUUUCUCAUUUAACAUAAGAGUUGGGACUCAUUUAAUAUAAGUCCCAUCCAGAGGUCAUUUUCUCAGUCACACAUCAGAGCACAGGCUGUUCAAUGCAGACAGGACACCUCUUGAGCUUUGCUUCCUAGAAGUUCAUUCCACCAGAUAUGCACUGCAUCAUCAACCUCAAGUUUAAAGUUUCACAGAUCUCCAGGGCAGGGUCACCAUGCAGCCAUGUUCUUUGCUACAGCAAAAUAAAAGUAACCUUGGCUUCUGUUCCCAGGAAGUUCCUCAUUUUUAUCUGAGACCUUCCAAGUCUGGUUUUCACUGGCCAUUUUCCUGUCAGCCUUCUGAUCACAAGUAGUUAACAAUUCUUUACAAAGAUCCAAACUUUUCUUCAUUUUCCUGUCUUCGAAGCCCUCCAAACUCUCCUGAUCUCUGUCUGCCACCCCCUUCUGAACCUGCUUCUACAUUAUCAGCUAUCUUUGUCACAGCCUGGCAAUGUGGUAAAGGAAGACAAGUCCAUUUUCAGGGAGAAAAUUCAAGAAGCCCUCAGAUACUUGAAUGAAAAGAAGCUGAGUACUGACUCCCAAGACAAUAGGGAAAAGGCCUUGAAGACAUUUCAUACAUCCACUUCCCAGUACUAAUUUUCUCUAUGAUCAUAAAGAACCUCAUGAUUCUGCAGGCUGUAAGGAAACAUACUGGCUUCUGAAUCUGGGAGGACUCAGGAAGCCUCCCAAUCAUACCAGAAUGUCAAGGGGCAAUGAGAUGAUUCACGUGGCAGGAGUAGGAGAAAGACAGAGAGAGGAAAGAGGUGCCAUGCCCUAUUAUACAAGCAGAUCUCAUGAGAACUCACAAGGUCAGCAUCAAAAAGAUGGUGUUUAACCAUUGGUGAAGGAUUUGCCCCCCACCCCCAACUCCCACUGUUUCCAGGCAGAAGCCUGAUGCAGAGGCAGAUCCUCUUGGAAAACCUCUACUAGGGAAAUGUGGAAGGAAAAUAUGGGCUUGGAGCCCCCACGCAGAUGGCCACCAACCUCCAGACCCCAGAUCCAUAGACCCACCAACAGCUCACAGCCUCAGUUUGAAAAAGGUAUGGGUAGUCAACACCAGCCCACCCCAUGAGAGCAGCCACAGGGGCUAAACCCUGUAAAGUCACAGGUGCACCGCCCUAGUAGAGGUUUUCCAUGAGGCUCUGCCUCUGCAGGAGGCUACUCCCACAUCCUACCACCCACCACCCUCUCACCAGCUUACUGCCAACCUACUCCUCCCCACCCUACCCACUUCUUUUUCCUUCUACCCGCAACCCCCUCCCAUCCAUGAUUCAAUCACCUCCCACCAGGCCCCACCUCCAACGUUCAGGAAUACAAUUUCCCAUGAUCUUUUGUAGGAAAACACCACCAAACCAUAUUACUCUGACCCUGACACCCCUGAAUCUCAUGUCCUUCUCACAGAGUAAAAUACAAACAAGCCUUUUCAGAAGUUUCCAAAAGUCUUAACUCAUUCCAGCAGUAACUCAAAUAUAAAAAAGAUUAAAGUCUCAAACAACACGAGGCUGCAGUCCCUUCUGCUUCUGAGUCCCUGAAUGUAAAAGGGAGUGCUUCUCUUUCACGAUACAAUGAUGGUACAGGCAUUGGGUAAGCUUUCUCAGUCCAAUGGGAAGAAAUUUUCCAGAAAAAUAACACAAUUGGGACACAGGUCCAAUGCAAGCCCAAAAGCCAGGAGAGUAUGUACGCAUUCAUCACGAGAACUCACUUUCACACAGACAGCAUUAAGGAGAUACUGUUUAACCAUUUGUGAAAGAUCUGCCCCCCCAGCCCCAUCUUUCACCCCCACCCCCAGCAUAAACCCCCCAAACUUACCACACCCUCACUUCCAAUCCCAACUGUCCGCUGUGAUUAAAUCACCAUCUACCAAGCACCACUUUUAACAUUCCCCAUCACAAUUCUACAUGAGUUUUGGUUGGGGCACAGAGACAAAUCAUAUAGUUCUGCCCCUGGCCUUCCAAAUCUCAUGUUACUUUCACUUUGCAAAAUACAGUGAUGUCUUCUCUACAGUCCCCCGAAGUCUUAACUCAUUCCAGCAUUUACUCAAAUGUCCAAAGCCCAAAGUCUCAUCUGAGACAAGGCUGCAGUCCCUUCUAUCCCUGAGCCUCUGAAAUACAAAGCAAGUUAACUACUUUCAAGGUACAAUGCUUGUCCAGGCAUUGGGUAAGCAGUCCCAGCCAAAAGGAAGAAAUUUGCCAGAAAGAAGCACAAAACACAGAUGGGACUUACAGACCCCAUGCAAGUCAAAAACCCAGCAGGCCAGUCAUUCCAUCGUAGAGCUCCAAGUCAUAUUUUUUGAAUCUACAUCCCACAUCCAGAGAAGAGGGUGGUUUAAUGGCUGGUCUCCCAAAGCCUUGGGCAGCUCAGCACCUGUGGUAUGGCAAGGUCUUUCCCCAAAGCUGCCCUCAUGGGCUGGGCUGCUGUUGAGUGCCAGUAGCUUUUCAACACUAAGGGUGCAAGCUGUUGGUGGGUCUAUGAAUCUGGGGUCUGGAGAAUGGUGCCUCCCAGUGUGGGGGCUCCCACCGUAUAUGUUCCUUCUAUACCAUCCUUGUAGAGGUUUACCACGAGGCUCUGUCUGUUGGAAAAGCUUCACCUGGAAACCCAGGAUUUUCCAUACAUACUCUGGAGUCUAGAAGAUGAAGACUCCGAAGUUUCUCGUCUUGUGCUCUGUGUACCUGCUGACUUAACACUAUGUGGAAGCCACCAAGGCUUGGAGCUUGCACCCCUGAAGUAGUGACCCAAGCUGUACCUGUGCAUCUUUCAGCCAUGGCUGCAGCAGGAGCUACAGGGAUGUAGGCAGCAUUGUCCUGAGGCUACACACAGCAGGGGACCAUGGGGCUGGGCCAGGAAACCAUUCUGUCCUAGAAAACCAUUCUUCUGUCCUAGGCUUCAGGGCCUGUACAGCAAGGGCUGCUGCAAAGGUCUCUGAAAUGCCUUCAAG